RNAcentral lists this ribosomal RNA (254 nucleotides) under uncultured bacterium. Its description in RNAcentral is "partial 16S ribosomal RNA". It matches the Rfam family "Bacterial small subunit ribosomal RNA", at positions 524 to 776 of the family's 1533-position model. The record is from RNAcentral.
UACGUAGGGUGCGAGCGUUGUCCGGAAUUAUUGGGCGUAAAGGGCUCGUAGGCGGUUUGUCGCGUCGGGAGUGAAAUCCACUGGCUUAACUGGUGGCUUGCUUUCGAUACGGGCAGACUGGAGGUAUGCAGGGGAGAACGGAAUUCCUGGUGUAGCGGUGAAAUGCGCAAAUAUCAGGAGGAACACCGGUGGCGAAGGCGGUUCUCUGGGCAUGUCCUGACGCUGAGGAGCGAAAGUGUGGGGGAGCGAACAGG